RNAcentral lists this ribosomal RNA (478 nucleotides) under Bacteroidetes bacterium oral taxon 274. RNAcentral's name for it is "bacterial SSU rRNA". It matches the Rfam family "Bacterial small subunit ribosomal RNA", at positions 28 to 499 of the family's 1533-position model. Lineage: Bacteria; Pseudomonadati; Bacteroidota. The record is from RNAcentral.
GAUGAACGCUAGCGAUAGGCUUAACACAUGCAAGUCGAGGGGCAUCACGAAUUAGCAAUAGUUUGGUGGCGACCGGCGCACGGGUGCGUAACACGUAUACAACCUACCUUCAAUUGGGGAAUAACCUGGAGAAAUUUGGACUAAUACCCCAUAGUAAACGGAAGAGGCAUCUUUUUUGUUUUAAAGAUUUAUUGAUUGGAGAUGGGUAUGCGUAGGAUUAGCUAGUUGGUAAGGUAACGGCUUACCAAGGCGACGAUCCUUAGGGGUUCUGAGAGGAAGGUCCCCCACACUGGUACUGAGACACGGACCAGACUCCUACGGGAGGCAGCAGUGAGGAAUAUUGGUCAAUGGUCGAGAGACUGAACCAGCCAAGUCGCGUGAAGGAAGACGGCUCUAUGAGUUGUAAACUUCUUUUGUACAGGAGUAAAGUGAGACACGCGUGUUUUAUUGCAAGUACUGUACGAAUAAGCAUCGGCUA